Molecule: long non-coding RNA, 1090 nt
Organism: Eleginops maclovinus (Patagonian blennie)
Lineage: Eukaryota; Metazoa; Chordata; Actinopteri; Perciformes; Eleginopidae
Exons: 3
Source: RefSeq, a predicted model, not a curated record
AUUUCAGGAAGUUGGAUAUUGUUUUUCAUGUCAGCUGUUUGAUAUAGAUACAAUGUUAUUUAAAACAUAGUGAGAUGUUUUAAAUUCUUAGUUUUGGGGUGUCACACCAACUAACUGAGAGAAAACCUGUGAAUAAUGCCUCACCAAACGAGAUCGGUUCUUUUCUCACAUUAUCUUGCAAUAACGUUGUAGUCGAUGCAGUUAGCUAGUAAUAAAACGACACAAGACGAAUUCAAACGUUAUAGAUAUAGAUCCAACAACCAUCAGAGCUCUUAUUGACAAUAAACAGUCGUGCCUCCCUCAGCUGCCCGAUACCCAGGCACAACGUCACGCCGGCUCACAGCUCACACCACCACGUGGCUCAGUCAGUAGGGGCUUGGACUGGGAACCGUAGGGUCGCCGGUUCAAGUCCCCAACAGACUUGAAAUAUGGAAAGUGGACUGCUACUUGGAGAGGUCCCAGUUCACCUCCUAGGCCCUGCUGUGGUGCCCUUGAGCAAGGCACCGGACACCUCCAAUCCCCCCUCCCCAUUGCUCCCCGGGCGCUGCACGAUAGCUGCCCACUGCUCCUAGUACUAGGAUGGGUUAAAUGCAGAGGACUAAUUUCACUGUGUGUGCUCUGCUGUGUGCAUGUAUGUGACUAAUAAAGAGGAUUUCAUCCUCCGAUUCUAUCUUCUAUCUCUAUCAAUCAUAUGUUGUAGGUCUCAGAUAUAUGCAAAACAUGUCUCUGAAGUGUUUGGCUCGAAAUACCUUAACAGAUCAUGCAUUUUAGUAUGACAAAUAACUGCCAGCCCCUCUGCAAGAUAUUUGGUUUUAAAAAACACAAUGGUUCUCUAGGAGGAAAUUCAGGUGAUAAGGGGUUACCUUGGUUGGUUAUUGGCUAGUGGUUGCACAACCAAAAAAACAUUGUGACAUCACACUGUGGCCAAAAUCUGAUCAGCCCAUUUUCAUACAGGUUUUUAUAUAGAUGGAUCAGGAAAAAAAGAAAGAAAAUCUAUUUAAAAAGAAGGGACACAUUUGUACGUAUAAAAGUCAUGAAAAAGUGGAUUUUGCACUAUAGGUGACCUCAAGAAUAAAAGUUAAGGAUUAAC